UUACAUGAUCUAGCUGGUCACCUGGCCGCCCAAGGCUGGCUGCCGUGGCUGAUUCAGCCACUCGGACAGAAGCCUCACACAGGUCAGCCCUUCAUCAGGAGAGAAGCCUCACACAGGUCAGCCCUUCAUCAGGACAGAAGCCUCACCCGGGUCAGCCCUUCAUCAGGACAGAAGCCUCACACAGGUCAGCCCUUCAUCAGGAGAGAAGCCUCACACAGGUCAGCCCUUCGUCAGGACAGAAGCCUCACACAGGUCAGCCCUUCAUCAGGACAGAAGCCUCACACAGGUCAGCCCUUCGUCAGGACAGAAGCCUCACACAGGUCAGCCCUUCGUCAGGACAGAAGCCUCACACGGGUCAGCCCUUCGUCAGGACAGAAGCCUCACACAGGUCAGCCCUUCAUCAGGACAGAAGCCUCACACAGGUCAGCCCUUCGUCAGGACAGAAGCCUCACCCGGGUCAGCCCUUCAUCAGGACAGAAGCCUCACACAGGUCAGCCCUUCAUCAGGACAGAAGCCUCACCCGGGUCAGC
This is a long non-coding RNA of Apodemus sylvaticus (European woodmouse), 530 nucleotides long. RefSeq lists it as uncharacterized. The record is from RefSeq and is a predicted model, not a curated record. The transcript has 3 exons. NCBI's taxonomy places the organism in Eukaryota, Metazoa, Chordata, Mammalia, Rodentia, Muridae.